GGAACUAGGCAAAAUGGUGCCGUAACUUCGGGAGAAGGCACGCUGACACGUAGGUGAAGUGAUUUACUCAUGGAGCUGAAGUCAGUCGAAGAUACCAGCUGGCUGCAACUGUUUAUUAAAAACACAGCACUGUGCAAACACGAAAGUGGACGUAUACGGUGUGACGCCUGCCCGGUGCCGGAAGGUUAAUUGAUGGGGUCAGCGCAAGCGAAGCUCCUGAUCGAAGCCCCGGUAAACGGCGGCCGUAACUAUAACGGUCCUAAGGUAGCGAAAUUCCUUGUCGGGUAAGUUCCGACCUGCACGAAUGGCGUAAUGAUGGCCAGGCUGUCUCCACCCGAGACUCAGUGAAAUUGAACUCGCUGUGAAGAUGCAGUGUACCCGCGGCAAGACGGAAAGACCCCGUGAACCUUUACUAUAGCUUGACACUGAACAUUGAGCCUUGAUGUGUAGGAUAGGUGGGAGGCUUUGAAGUGUGGACGCCAGUCUGCAUGGAGCCGACCUUGAAAUACCACCCUUUAAUGUUUGAUGUUCUAACGUGGACCCGUGAUCCGGGUUGCGGACAGUGUCUGGUGGGUAGUUUGACUGGGGCGGUCUCCUCCUAAAGAGUAACGGAGGAGCACGAAGGUUGGCUAAUCCUGGUCGGACAUCAGGAGGUUAGUGCAAUGGCAUAAGCCAGCUUGACUGCGAGCGUGACGGCGCGAGCAGGUGCGAAAGCAGGUCAUAGUGAUCCGGUGGUUCUGAAUGGAAGGGCCAUCGCUCAACGGAUAAAAGGUACUCCGGGGAUAACAGGCUGAUACCGCCCAAGAGUUCAUAUCGACGGCGGUGUUUGGCACCUCGAUGUCGGCUCAUCACAUCCUGGGGCUGAAGUAGGUCCCAAGGGUAUGGCUGUUCGCCAUUUAAAGUGGUACGCGAGCUGGGUUUAGAACGUCGUGAGACAGUUCGGUCCCUAUCUGCCGUGGGCGCUGGAGAACUGAGGGGGGCUGCUCCUAGUACGAGAGGACCGGAGUGGACGCAUCACUGGUGUUCGGGUUGUCAUGCCAAUGGCACUGCCCGGUAGCUAAAUGCGGAAGAGAUAAGUGCUGAAAGCAUCUAAGCACGAAACUUGCCCCGAGAUGAGUUCUCCCUGAGACUUUAGGUCUCCUGAAGGAACGUUGAAGACGACGACGUUGAUAGGCCGGGUGUGUAAGCGCAGCGAUGCGUUGAGCUAACCGGUACUAAUGAACCGUGAGGCUUAACCUUACA
Molecule: ribosomal RNA, 1242 nt
Filed under: Salmonella enterica
Lineage: Bacteria; Pseudomonadati; Pseudomonadota; Gammaproteobacteria; Enterobacterales; Enterobacteriaceae
Description: partial 23S ribosomal RNA
Rfam family: Bacterial large subunit ribosomal RNA
Source: RNAcentral